RNAcentral lists this long non-coding RNA (1436 nucleotides) under Malus domestica (apple). Its description in RNAcentral is "long non-coding RNA (MDOM_LNC015903)". The record is from RNAcentral. Lineage: Eukaryota; Viridiplantae; Streptophyta; Magnoliopsida; Rosales; Rosaceae.
UUUCACUUCAGGUUUUGUCUCCUUGGUCUCUUCUGUUUUUGUCGUCGUGGUCUCUUCUGGUUUUGUCUCCUUUACCUCUUCGGCUUUCUUCUCCUCAAUAUCAGAUUUCUUGUCUUCUUGGGUAACUGCAGCUGGUGCUGCUACUUCAGGUGAUUUCUCGAGCUCAACCGCUAUCUCCUCUCUCUUCUCCUCAAUAUCACAUUUCUUGUCUUCUUGGGUAACUGCAGCUGGUGCUGCUGCUUCAGGUGAUUUCUCGAGCUCAACCGCUGUCUCCUCAUUCUUCUCAGUGGUCUUUGGCUUUUCUUCUGCUUCUUCUAUCUUUGCCGCAACUUCAGCUAUCUUCUCUUCUUCUGGCCUUUCCGCAACUUCAGCUAUCUUCUCUUCUUCUAGCUUUGCCGCAACUUCGGCUCUCUUCUCUUCUUCCUGAGUUCAUAGAUUAAGGGAUGUAUCAAUAUUAAGUACAUUCAUAAAAUUACCAAAAGAUAUGCGCGAGUACGAAAUUUUGAAUGAUUGAAAUACCUGCGUGGGAAACUUAACUUAGGUUGUAAUUGUAAGCAUACAAAUCUUAUAACCCAACGUAGGCAAUUAUGUAAUAAUGUCUCUAAUAUGUCCAAAACAUAAGCAAGUUUUGUUAUGUUUGAUUCAAUGUCCUACGCAAGCCGCUAAAAUCAGAUGGUGAUACGUCGAAUACACGCAUGCAUGUAUUUGAAGAAAGUUAAGGUUCACUACAAAGCCAAUUGGAAUACGAGGAGUAGUCCAACCUUUUAUAAGUCCAUACAAGAUUCUUCCUUCUAUCAAUGUGUGACUCAUUCUCAACACGCCCCCUCACGUGUGGCGAAUUUUCAAGCCUAACACGUGAAUAGCACAACGGGGUGACGUGGAGCACAUGUGGCCGUUUGGCUUCACACAUGAGACAACUUGCUCUAAUACCAUGAAAAAAGUUGAGAUUCCACCAUAAAACCAAAUGGCUAUACGAGGUGUAGCCCAACCUCUUAUAAGUUCAUGCAAUAUCAUUUCUCCCAUCAAUGUGAUACUCAUUGUCAACAGUAUUUAUGCGUCUAUAUUCCAUAUCACUGUAUAGGAAACUGAACUUAAUUGGUCUACAAUCAUAGUAAAUAAUUAAAAGAAUUAUUAUUGUAUACCUCCUUGAGCAAGGCCCCGAGAGAGGGUUGUUUGUUAUGACCAUCAUCGGUAUUUUGUUCAGCCUUGUUUUCUUCCUGCAGCUGCUCAGCGUUCACCUCCUCGGCCUGAACCGACCCCUUCCUGGGCUCCGGUGCUGGGACUGCGGCAGCAUCAUCACCCUUGGUCUUUGGUUCACUAGCACAAUUACCCAUGUUAAUUUCUUUGGUCUCGAUCGAAAAAUGUCUUCUUUCCCUCUCUACGGUUUAGUGAGAGAAAGGUUGAAGACCGAGAAUAUAUUAGAGUAGUUGCGAGAG